Molecule: ribosomal RNA, 549 nt
Filed under: uncultured eukaryote
Lineage: Eukaryota
Description: bacterial SSU rRNA
Rfam family: Eukaryotic small subunit ribosomal RNA
Source: RNAcentral
UCAGGAGUAUUCGGGUUCCGGGGGGAGUAUGGUCGCAAGGCCGAAACUUAAAGGAAUUGACGGAAGGGCACCACCAGGAGUGGAAUCUGCGGCUUAAUUUGACAACGCGGGAAAAACUCACCAGGUCAGGACACGGUAAGGAUUGACGGACUGAAGGCUCUUUCUCGAUUCCGUGGAAAGUGGUGCAUGGCCGUUUUUGGUUGGUGGAUCGAUCCGUCUGGUUAAUUCCGUUAACGAACGAGACCUCGGCACUCCGAAUAGCGCGGCGGACGUCGCGGCCUCCGGGCCGUCUUCCGCACGAGCUUCUUAGAGGGACCGUCCCCCGCCGGGGAAGGAGGUGCGAGGCAACGACAGGUCUGUGAUGCCCUUAGAUGUUCUGGGCCGCACGCGCAUUACACUGACGCGUCCAACGGGUGACUCCCGACCCGAAGGGGCCGGGGAAUCCGCAAGGCGCGUCGUGAUGGGGAUUGAACGUUGCAAUUGUUGUUCACGAACGAGGAAUUCCUAGUAGGCGCGGGUCAUCAACCCGCGCCGAUUACGUCCCUGCCC